Molecule: unclassified non-coding RNA, 235 nt
Filed under: plant metagenome
Description: partial contains small subunit ribosomal RNA, internal transcribed spacer 1, and 5.8S ribosomal RNA
Rfam family: Eukaryotic small subunit ribosomal RNA (bases 1-54)
Source: RNAcentral
GGAAGUAAAGGUCGUAACAAGGUUUCCGUAGGUGAACCUGCGGAAGGAUCAUUCAUAAUAAGUGUUUUAUGGCACUUUUUUAAAUCCAUAUCCACCUUGUGUGCAAUGUCAGGGUUGAUUUUUCUCUCGAGAGGAUCAACCCCAAACAUCAACUAUAUCUCAACUCUUUGUCUGAAAAAUAUUAUGAAUAAAACAAUUCAAAAUACAACUUUCAACAACGGAUCUCUUGGCUCUA